UCGAGGGGUAUAGGUUUUCGGACCUAGAGACCGGCGCACGGGUGCGUAACGCGUAUGCAAUCUACCUUUUGCAGCGGGAUAGCCCAGAGAAAUUUGGAUUAAUACCGCAUAGUAUAGAGCCUUGGCAUCAAGGCACUAUUAAAGUUACAACGGCAAAAGAUGAGCAUGCGUCCCAUUAGCUAGAUGGUAAGGUAACGGCUUACCAUGGCAACGAUGGGUAGGGGUCCUGAGAGGGAGAUCCCCCACACUGGUACUGAGACACGGACCAGACUCCUACGGGAGGCAGCAGUGAGGAAUAUUGGACAAUGGGCGCAAGCCUGAUCCAGCCAUGCCGCGUGCAGGAUGACGGUCCUAUGGAUUGUAAACUGCUUUUACACAGGAAGAAACAACGCUACGUGUAGCGUCUUGACGGUACUGUGAGAAUAAGGAUCGGCUAACUCCGUGCCAGCAGCCGCGGUAAUACGGAGGAUCCAAGCGUUAUCCGGAAUCAUUGGGUUUAAAGGGUCCGUAGGCGGUUUAGUAAGUCAGUGGUGAAAGCCCAUCGCUCAACGGUGGAACGGCCAUUGAUACUGCUAGACUUGAAUUAUUAGGAAGUAACUAGAAUAUGUAGUGUAGCGGUGAAAUGCUUAGAGAUUACAUGGAAUACCAAUUGCGAAGGCAGGUUACUACUGGUGGAUUGACGCUGAUGGACGAAAGCGUG
Molecule: ribosomal RNA, 700 nt
Filed under: uncultured Flavobacterium sp.
Lineage: Bacteria; Pseudomonadati; Bacteroidota; Flavobacteriia; Flavobacteriales; Flavobacteriaceae
Description: bacterial SSU rRNA
Rfam family: Bacterial small subunit ribosomal RNA
Source: RNAcentral